GUGCUCACUUUGGCAGCACAUAUACUAAAAUUGGAAUGAUACACAGAAGAUUAGCAUGGCCCCUGUGCAAGGAUGACAUGCAAAUUCAUGAAGCAUUCCAUAUUUUU
Molecule: small nuclear RNA, 107 nt
Filed under: Cebus imitator (Panamanian white-faced capuchin)
Lineage: Eukaryota; Metazoa; Chordata; Mammalia; Primates; Cebidae
Source: RNAcentral